RNAcentral lists this ribosomal RNA (492 nucleotides) under uncultured bacterium. Its description in RNAcentral is "partial 16S ribosomal RNA". It matches the Rfam family "Bacterial small subunit ribosomal RNA", at positions 29 to 507 of the family's 1533-position model. The record is from RNAcentral.
AGUGAACGCUGGCGGUAGGCCUAACACAUGCAAGUCGAACGACAGCACAGUAAGAGCUUGCUCUUACGGGAGGCGAGUGACGGACGGGUGAGGAAUACAUCGGAAUCUACUUUUUCGUGGGGGAUAACGUAGGGAAACUCACGCUAAUACCGCAUACGACCUACGGGUAAAAGCAGGUGUUCUUUGGACCUUGCGCGAAUGAAUGAGCCGAUGUCGGAUUAGCUAGUUGGCGGGGUAAAGGCGCACAAAGGAGACGAUCCGUAGCGGGUCUGAGGGGAUGAAUAGGCACACGGGAACUGAGAGAGGGUGGAGACUCCUAGAGGAGGCAGCAGUGGGGAAUCCUACACGAUGGGGGCGAGGCGGAUAUAGCCAUACCGCGGGGGUUAAGAAGGCCUGCGGGUUGGAGAGCCCUUUUGUUGUGAAAGAAAAGCAGCAGUUUAAGACCCCGAUGUUCUGACGGUACCUGAAGAAGAAGCUCCGGCUAACUUCGUG